UAAGAAUUCUUUAUUUUUAUUUUUAUUUUGUUUUCUUUUCUAAAAAUAAUUUUAUUUCUAGUAACUUUUUGAGUAAAUGAUUUUUAUUAUAGUUUAUUGUACUGUAAAGGGUUAGUUUUAUUAUUAUGGAAGUAGAAUUAAUUUUGUACCUUUUGCAUCAGGGUUUAUUAAUUUUAUAAUAUGUAUAUUAUUAUUCCCGAAAUUAAGGGAGAUACUUUAUUAUGACUUUCUUUGUAACAAAAUGGUGGUUAAUUGUAAGGUAGAGGUGAUAUGCUAUUCAACCUUAAAUAUCUGGUUACUUGGGAAUUGCAUUUAAUGCAGGAAGAUAUUUGUUUUUUAAACUUUGAUUUGUCUUGUAAUAUUUUCUUAAACUUUUAGGGAUAAGCUUGAGAGUUGAAUUAAAACGUCUCCUUUAUAAAGAAUUAUUUAUAGGUUUAGAAACGUCCAUUUAAAUCGUUACAGUUAAGUUCUUAUGUUUUAUUUAUUUAAAGUGUGUUUAAUUUAUUACUAAGUAGGGUUUUGUAAUUUUAGUUGAUGGGUUUUUAUGAUAAAAUUAGUAAGUGUUUAUUUAUAGUUUAGGAAUUCGGCAACUUUACUUUCCGCCUGUUUAACAAAAACAUGUCCUAUUGUAUAUAAUUUUAGGUCGGACCUGCCCAAUGAAUAGGAUUAAAUGGCCGCAGUAUCCUGACUGUGCAAAGGUAGCAUAAUCAAUUGUCUUUUAAUUGAAGGCUUGGAUGAAGGGUUUGACGAGAAAGAUUCUAUCUUAACUGUAUUAAAUUGAAUUUAAUGUUUUAGUUAAAAAGCUAAAAUGUUAUUGUGGGACGAGAAGACCCUAUAGAAUUUUACUUUUGAUAUUAUUUAAUAGAUUAGGUUGUAUAUUACUAUUAAAUAUUAUCAUAGGUUUUGCUGGGGUGGCGGGGUGAUUUGAAUAACUCACUUUUAUUGGUUUCAUUGAUUUAUGUGUUUAAUUGAUCCUGCAAUGUGGAUUUUAAGAUUAAAUUACCUUAGGGAUAACAGCGUAAUUCUUAUGGAGAGUUCAUAUUGAUAUAAGAGUUUGCGACCUCGAUGUUGGAUUAAAGUAAGUGUUGGGUGCAGUUGCUCAAUUACUAGGUCUGUUCGACCUAUAAUUCUUUACAUGAUCUGAGUUCAGACCGGCGUGAGCCAGGUUGGUUUCUAUCUACAAUGGUUGGCUACUGCUCAGUACGAAAGGACCUGCAGUUGGGAAUAAUUCUGUUGAAUGUGAUUGAUACU
RNAcentral lists this ribosomal RNA (1251 nucleotides) under Aneurus sublobatus. Its description in RNAcentral is "16S ribosomal RNA". The stretch from base 791 to 1187 matches the Rfam family "Bacterial large subunit ribosomal RNA", at positions 2049 to 2651 of the family's 2925-position model. Lineage: Eukaryota; Metazoa; Arthropoda; Insecta; Hemiptera; Aradidae. The record is from RNAcentral.